Molecule: ribosomal RNA, 447 nt
Filed under: uncultured bacterium
Lineage: Bacteria
Description: bacterial SSU rRNA
Rfam family: Bacterial small subunit ribosomal RNA
Source: RNAcentral
UCCAGACUCCUACGGGAGGCAGCAGUGGGGGAUAUUGCACAAUGGGGGAAACCCUGAUGCAGCGACGCCGCGUGAGUGAAGAAGUAUUUCGGUAUGUAAAGCUCUCUCAGCAGGGAAGAAAAAAGACGGUACCUGACUAAGAAGCCCCGGCUAACUACGUGCCAGCAGCCGCGGUAAUACGUAGGGGGCAAGCGUUAUCCGGAUUUACUGGGUGUAAAGGGAGCGUAGACGGCAAUACAAGUCGGAAGUGAAAUACCCGGGCUCAACCUGGGAACUGCUUUGGAAACUGUAUGGCUGGAGUGCUGGAGAGGUAAGCGGAAUUCCUAGUGUAGCGGUGAAAUGCGUAGAUAUUAGGAGGAACACCAGUGGCGAAGGCGGCUUACUGGACAGUAACUGACGUUGAGGCUCGAAAGCGUGGGGAGCAAACAGGAUUAGAUACCCCAGUAU